GAUGAACGCUGGCGGCGUGCCUAACACAUGCAAGUCGAACGGAGUUGAGCCCUUCGGGACUUAACUUAGUGGCGAACGGGUGAGUAACGCGUGAGGAACCUGCCUUUCAGUGGGGGACAACAGUUGGAAACGACUGCUAAUACCGCAUGAUGCAUUUUGAUCGCAUGGUCGGAAUGCCAAAGAUUUAUCGCUGAAAGAUGGCCUCGCGUCUGAUUAGAUAGUUGGUGGGGUAACGGCCCACCAAGUCGACGAUCAGUAGCCGGACUGAGAGGUUGACCGGCCACAUUGGGACUGAGAUACGGCCCAGACUCCUACGGGAGGCAGCAGUGGGGAAUAUUAGGCAAUGGGCGCAAGCCUGACCCAGCAACGCCGCGUGAAGGAAGAAGGCUUUCGGGUUGUAAACUUCUUUAAGUGGGAAGAGUAGAAGACGGUACCACUUGAAUAAGCCACGGCUAACUACGUG
This 463-nucleotide ribosomal RNA is filed under the name uncultured bacterium. RNAcentral describes it as "bacterial SSU rRNA". It matches the Rfam family "Bacterial small subunit ribosomal RNA", at positions 28 to 507 of the family's 1533-position model. The record is from RNAcentral.